This 257-nucleotide ribosomal RNA is filed under the name Listeria innocua. Its description in RNAcentral is "partial 16S ribosomal RNA". It matches the Rfam family "Bacterial small subunit ribosomal RNA", at positions 1 to 246 of the family's 1533-position model. Lineage: Bacteria; Bacillati; Bacillota; Bacilli; Caryophanales; Listeriaceae. The record is from RNAcentral.
UUUAAAGAGAGUUUGAUCCUGGCUCAGGACGAACGCUGGCGGCGUGCCUAAUACAUGCAAGUCGAACGAACGGAGGAAGAGCUUGCUCUUCCAAUGUUAGUGGCGGACGGGUGAGUAACACGUGGGCAACCUGCCUGUAAGUUGGGGAUAACUCCGGGAAACCGGGGCUAAUACCGAAUGAUAAGAUGUGGCGCAUGCCACGCCUUUGAAAGAUGGUUUCGGCUAUCGCUUACAGAUGGGCCCGCGGUGCAUUAGCU